AGUGAACGCUGGCGGCGGGCCUAACACAUGCAAGUCGAGCGCACCCACGGUAAGCGCUCUCCUCUGCGGUUGGCGGCGGACGGGCGGGUAAGACAUACAUCGCCUUCCUCUUUUUCUGGGGGAACAUCGUGGGAACACUUCCCCUACUCCCGCAUAUGUCCAACGGGAGAAAUCAGGGGUUCUUCGCACUUUUCCCGUUGCAUUGAGCCGAAGCCGGAUUAGCUAGUUGGCGGGGUAAGGGCCCACCAAGGCCACGAUCCGUAGCUGGUCUGAGAGGGUGAUCAGCCACACUGGAACUGAGACACGGUCCAGACUCCUACGGGAGGCAGCAGUGGGGAAUAUUGGACAAUGGGCGCAAGCCUGAUCCAGCCAUACCGCGUGGGUGAAGAAGGCCUUCGGGUUGUAAAGCCCUGUUGUUGGGAAAGAAAAACAGCAGGUUAAUACCCCGCUGUUCUGACGGUACCCAAAGAAUAAGCACCGGCUAACUUCGUG
RNAcentral lists this ribosomal RNA (492 nucleotides) under uncultured bacterium. RNAcentral's name for it is "partial 16S ribosomal RNA". It matches the Rfam family "Bacterial small subunit ribosomal RNA", at positions 29 to 507 of the family's 1533-position model. The record is from RNAcentral.